This 169-nucleotide ribosomal RNA is filed under the name uncultured bacterium. RNAcentral's name for it is "partial 16S ribosomal RNA". It matches the Rfam family "Bacterial small subunit ribosomal RNA", at positions 338 to 524 of the family's 1533-position model. The record is from RNAcentral.
CCUACGGGAGGCAGCAGUGGGGAAUAUUGGACAAUGGGCGAAAGCCUGAUCCAGCAAUGCCGCGUGAGUGAUGAAGGCCUUAGGGUUGUAAAGCUCUUUUACCCGGGAUGAUAAUGACGGUACUGUAAGAAUAAGGAUCGGCUAACUACGUGCCAGCAGCCGCGGUAAU